RNAcentral lists this ribosomal RNA (368 nucleotides) under uncultured organism. RNAcentral describes it as "bacterial LSU rRNA". It matches the Rfam family "Bacterial large subunit ribosomal RNA", at positions 2099 to 2465 of the family's 2925-position model. The record is from RNAcentral.
CUUUACUAUAGCCUGGAAUUGGGUUCGGGCUUUUCUUGCGCAGUCUAGGUGGGAGGCUAUGAAGAUUUCCUUCCGGGGAAGUUGGAGCCAUCAGUGAGAGACCACUCUGGAGAGGCUAGAAUCCUAAUGGUGAUCCUUGAAUCAGGACACUUGACAGUUUCAGGUGGGCAGUUUUUCUGGGGCGGAAGCCUCAUAAAGGGUAACUGAGGCGCGCAAAGGUCCCCUCAGUCUGGACGGAAAUCAGACAACGAGUGUAAAGGCAAAAGGGGGCUUGACUGCAAGACCUACAAGUCGAGCAGGAGCGAAAACUGGCCUUAGUGAUCCGACGGUACCGCGUGGAAGGGCCGUCGCUCAACGAAUAAAAGUUA